RNAcentral lists this ribosomal RNA (506 nucleotides) under uncultured bacterium. RNAcentral describes it as "partial 16S ribosomal RNA". It matches the Rfam family "Bacterial small subunit ribosomal RNA", at positions 30 to 523 of the family's 1533-position model. The record is from RNAcentral.
AUUGAACGCUGGCGGCAUGCCUUACACAUGCAAGUCGAACGGCAGCAUGGAAGAGCUUGCUCUUCUGAUGGCGAGUGGCGAACGGGUGAGUAAAGCAUCGGAACGUACCGUGUAGUGGGGGAUAACGUAGCGAAAGUUACGCUAAUACCGCAUACGCACUGAGGUGGAAAGCAGGGGAUCGCAAGACCUUGCGCUAUACGAGCGGCCGAUGUCAGAUUAGCUAGUUGGUAGGGUAAAGGCCUACCAAGGCGACGAGCUGUAGCGGGUCUGAGAGGAUGAUCCGCCACACUGGGACUGAGACACGGCCCAGACUCCUACGGGAGGCAGCAGUGGGGAAUUUUGGACAAUGGGGGAAACCCUGAUCCAGCCAUGCCGCGUGAGUGAAGAAGGCCUUCGGGUUGUAAAGCUCUUUCGGCUGGGAAGAAAUCGCACAGGCUAAUACUCUGUGUGGAUGACGGUACCAGCAUAAGAAGCACCGGCUAAUUCCGUGCCAGCCGCCGCCGUAA